Molecule: long non-coding RNA, 1111 nt
Organism: Canis lupus familiaris (dog)
Lineage: Eukaryota; Metazoa; Chordata; Mammalia; Carnivora; Canidae
Exons: 3
Source: RefSeq, a predicted model, not a curated record
AUUUCCAAAUAAGGUCACAUCCUGAGGCACCGGGAGUCAGAACUUCAUGGUCUUUUCUUCAGGGGACACAAUUUAACCCAUUACAGGCAUUCUCUGUCCCGUGGCCAGAGAAGUGCUUGAGCCCUGCCUGAGGAAGCACCACCGCUGUUACCUUUGGCUUCAUUGUCACUGCUAGUAAAUGACAAAAGGAGAGAAGCCACGUCUGCAUCUGCCCUUUUAUGUCGCCGCCCCACACGCCUGCUCACCCACCUGGCGGAUGGUGGGCACAGGCGUCUCCAGGGAGAGAUAGUGUCUCUGAAUACUUUGUCCCCAGAUGAGAAGUCAUCCAGCAAGAUCAGGAGGAGGAAAGUGGUGCUGCAGCUUGGCAGGCUAGCCCGGUGCCCGCUUCCACACUGCCAGUGCGCCCUCGGUUCCACGUCUGCAGACGUGAGGAGGAAAGCUGCAUACGCACCCCUCACACGCUGUCCUGACCCAGACUGGUUUCCAGACGCCAGCACCCACGGCACCCUGGACAGAGAGCCUGAGAGUGGAGCGCUGGCAUUUCAAAGAGCCUCACCUCACUGCGUAGGAGGCUGCACACUUUCACAGGAACUCAAGACUGGAAGAAUAAUGCAAUUAAGAAAAAGAAAUGCACAGUAAUGGGGAAAAAAAGGAAAAUACAAAACAAAACUUAGGGACAUGUUGGAGGCUUUCACCACCCUGUUAACUGCAAAUACGAAAUAUUUCCUACUUAGCAAUGCAGGGAGGUCAACUUUGUCCUCCCCUCCUUGACCCUUCUCUCCUCCCUCACUGUUUGAAGCUUAUACAAAAGUACAGAAAAUCACACAAGACACAACCAGCUCUGGCUUUAUCACAUCUGGAUAUUUUACUACAAUUUUUUGGGAAGAUUUCUCUUUCCUUAUUUCUUUUUGGAAAGAAAUAGAACAGGUACCUUCCUAGCCCCCCGUAUGGCCUUCACAAUUUUGUUCUCUUCCUCCCAGAGGCCUCUCUCCUGGAAGGGGGAGAUUCUCGAUCCCUGGCAUGGUAGCUAUGUAUGUUCUUUAUUAUUUCCAUAAGUGAUGUAACAAACGUUUGUGUUGAUACAUUUUUAUAAAUGGGAUCGUUCCAUGUU